This 427-nucleotide ribosomal RNA is filed under the name uncultured prokaryote. RNAcentral describes it as "bacterial SSU rRNA". It matches the Rfam family "Bacterial small subunit ribosomal RNA", at positions 355 to 774 of the family's 1533-position model. The record is from RNAcentral.
UAGGGAAUAUUGCGCAAUGGGCGAAAGCCUGACGCAGCGACACCGUGUGUAGGAUGAAGAUCUUAGGAUUGUAAACUACUGUCAGUUGAAGAAGAAGGUAUGAAAGUUAAGAGCUUGAUUAUUGACGGUAUUCAACGAGGAAGUCUCGGCUAACUCCGUGCCAGCAGCCGCGGUAACACGUAGGAGGCGAACGUUAUCCGGAUUUACUGGGCGUAAAGCGCGUGCAGGCGGUUCAAUAAGUUGGAUGUGAAAGCUCCCGGCUAAACUGGGAGAGGACGUUCAAGACUGUUGGGCUAGAGGAUGAGAGAGGGAAGUGGAAUUCCGAGUGUAGUGGUGAAAUGCGUAGAUAUUCGGAGGAACACCAGUGGCGAAAGCGGCUUCCUGGCUCAUAACUGACGCUCAGACGCGAAAGCUAGGGUAGCAAACG